UACGUAGGGUGCAAGCGUUAAUCGGAAUUACUGGGCGUAAAGCGUGCGCAGGCGGUUUUGUAAGUCUGUCGUGAAAGCCCCGGGCUCAACCUGGGAAUUGCGAUGGAGACUGCAAGGCUUGAAUCUGGCAGAGGGGGGUAGAAUUCCACGUGUAGCAGUGAAAUGCGUAGAGAUGUGGAGGAACACCGAUGGCGAAGGCAGCCCCCUGGGUCAAGAUUGACGCUCAUGCACGAUAGCGUGGGGAGCAAACAGG
This 253-nucleotide ribosomal RNA is filed under the name uncultured bacterium. RNAcentral describes it as "partial 16S ribosomal RNA". It matches the Rfam family "Bacterial small subunit ribosomal RNA", at positions 524 to 776 of the family's 1533-position model. The record is from RNAcentral.